CUGAUGCAGCCAUGCCGCGUGUGUGAAGAAGGCCUUCGGGUUGUAAAGCACUUUCAGCGAGGAGGAAAGGUCAGUAGCUAAUACCUGCUGGCUGUGACGUUACUCGCAGAAGAAGCACCGGCUAACUCCGUGCCAGCAGCCGCGGUAAUAC
Molecule: ribosomal RNA, 151 nt
Filed under: Aeromonas caviae
Lineage: Bacteria; Pseudomonadati; Pseudomonadota; Gammaproteobacteria; Aeromonadales; Aeromonadaceae
Description: partial 16S ribosomal RNA
Rfam family: Bacterial small subunit ribosomal RNA
Source: RNAcentral